This is a non-coding RNA of Mycena vulgaris, 105 nucleotides long. The record is from the annotation of a GenBank genome assembly. Lineage: Eukaryota; Fungi; Basidiomycota; Agaricomycetes; Agaricales; Mycenaceae.
GGCGUCAUAGCUCAGUUGGGAGAGCAGCAGACUGAAGCGUGACUAAGGCGUGCCCGCUUACGUAAGUUCAUCUGAAGGUCCCGUGUUCAAGCCACGGUGAUGCCA